CGGACGGGUGAGUAAUGUCUGGGAAACUGCCUGAUGGAGGGGGAUAACUACUGGAAACAGUAGCUAAUACCGCAUAACGUCGCAAGACCAAAGAGGGGGACCUUAGGGCCUCUUGCCAUCGGAUGUGCCCAGAUGGGAUUAGCUAGUAGGUGGGGUAACGGCUCACCUAGGCGACGAUCCCUAGCUGGUCUGAGAGGAUGACCAGCCACACUGGAACUGAGACACGGUCCAG
Molecule: ribosomal RNA, 232 nt
Filed under: uncultured bacterium
Lineage: Bacteria
Description: partial 16S ribosomal RNA
Rfam family: Bacterial small subunit ribosomal RNA
Source: RNAcentral